GGGCCCGCACAAGCGGUGGAGUAUGUGGUUUAAUUCGAUGCAACGCGAAGAACCUUACCAGGGUUUGACAUCCUGCGAAUUUCUGGGAAACCGGAAAGUGCCUUCGGGAGCGCAGUGACAGGUGGUGCAUGGCUGUCGUCAGCUCGUGUCGUGAGAUGUUGGUUAAGUCCCGCAACGAGCGCAACCCACGUCUUUAGUUGCCAGCAUUUAGUUGGGCACUCUAGAGAGACUGCCGGUGAUAAACCGGAGGAAGGUGUGGAUGACGUCAAGUCAUCAUGCCCCUUACAUCCUGGGCUACACACGUACUACAAUGCUACGGACAAAGGGCAGCAAGUUCGCGAGGAC
Molecule: ribosomal RNA, 345 nt
Filed under: uncultured bacterium
Lineage: Bacteria
Description: bacterial SSU rRNA
Rfam family: Bacterial small subunit ribosomal RNA
Source: RNAcentral